Molecule: long non-coding RNA, 301 nt
Filed under: Helianthus annuus (common sunflower)
Lineage: Eukaryota; Viridiplantae; Streptophyta; Magnoliopsida; Asterales; Asteraceae
Description: sRNA HanXRQr2_Chr08g0342811
Source: RNAcentral
UUUAGGAGCCCAGUAAAAGCUAUCUGUACUUGCUUGGUGGUAUACGGCUGGGAUUAAAUUUAUAUUUAGCUCAGUUUAAUGACCAUGUCCCGGAUAUCCUUGGCAUCAUUUUUGGCCACGACCUUGACACCCGGGUGUAGGCGUACACCCGGUACUACGCGUAAUAGGCUGGUUACUCCUAGCAUCAAAUAGAAGUCUCGCAAGCUUAGAUGCCUGAAGUCUGUUGAACAAUGUUUCAUUUAUCUUUGAUCCGCCUGUGGAUCCUUUACUUUCCGUUUGUAAUACUUUGAUAUUACUUUAU